This 1342-nucleotide long non-coding RNA is filed under the name Homo sapiens (human). RNAcentral's name for it is "HSALNT0023189". Lineage: Eukaryota; Metazoa; Chordata; Mammalia; Primates; Hominidae. The record is from RNAcentral.
UCAGGGACCUCGCCCCCUCCCUUUCCCGCUGGAGAAAUUGCCGCUGAUGCAUUAUCCAAGUGGUGGUUGGGAGGAUUUGCAGCAACAUUUUUGGUUUUCCCUCCCCCUUCUAUGCAUUCUGUUUUUUUCCUCCCUUUUCUGUUUUUCUUCUUCCCGGGAAGUGAAUUGCUGAUGCAAAUCGGACUUUAUUCAUUAAUGAUGCAACCGGAUUCGUUUCAGGAUUACGUUGCACGAGUUGAAUUUUGAAUGAAGGAGAAGAGUUUUUUUUUUUUUUUUUAAAGAAGUGUUGACUCUCUAGUUCGUUGUACUUUUAAUUAUUAUUUUAUUUAAAUAUACGACUUAAUUGUAUUCUUUUAAAAAUGCAUUAAGUAUAUAUUUUAUGGUAAUUUACCCUCAAAAUAUAUGUAUAUGGGUGAAAUUGAAGACGCUUCAGUUAAGUGAGGUUACUGGUGUGUUGGAUGUUUAAUUCAGCACCAGCAUUGCAUGACAGUUGUUUGAAUAACAAGUGGUUUAUUUUUAAAACCAUACCUUUUAAAAUUUAGGUUCAGAUAAUAGUAAAAGUCAUCAUAAUAAUUUAAAGGAAAACCAGCAGAAAUCGAAGCAAACAUGUCUGGAGAAGUGCGUUUGAGGCAGUUGGAGCAGUUUAUUUUGGACGGGCCCGCUCAGACCAAUGGGCAGUGCUUCAGUGUGGAGACAUUACUGGAUAUACUCAUCUGCCUUUAUGAUGAAUGCAAUAAUUCUCCAUUGAGAAGAGAGAAGAACAUUCUCGAAUACCUAGAAUGGGCUAAACCAUUUACUUCUAAAGUGAAACAAAUGCGAUUACAUAGAGAAGACUUUGAAAUAUUAAAGGUGAUUGGUCGAGGAGCUUUUGGGGAGGUAAGAGAUUAAGAUUUGAUAGAAGGUCUGCUAAUUAUUUUGGAAGCUGUUGAACACAAUUGUGAGAGAAUUUAACAAGUAUUGUUACUUGUUACUUGUUAAACAAUAUUUGUUAAGUUGUGAUUGAUGUGAUUGAUUGUGCUGUUGUGAUUGAUAUAAUAGCUCAGAAAAUAAAGUGUUGAAUGAAAUAUUUCUACUGGGAAUUUUUUCUAAGAUCAUGUUUUCACAUGUACUUCAUAUGUCAAUGUAAAUAUGAGUGUGUUUCUAGACUCUUCUUUUGUUCUGUUGGUCUGUCUUAUUCUAGUUUAUAAGGAAUCUUGAUACCUGGUAGUGUAUAUACUCUGACUUCCUUUUUCUCCCCCUCUCCCAUCUCUCCUCCCCUGAUAUUUUCAUAGUAUUUUAUUUUAUGUAUGAAUGUAUGUAUGUAUGUAUGUAUGUAUGUAUGUAUGUAUGUAUUUAUUUAUUU